RNAcentral lists this ribosomal RNA (234 nucleotides) under uncultured bacterium. RNAcentral describes it as "partial 16S ribosomal RNA". It matches the Rfam family "Bacterial small subunit ribosomal RNA", at positions 118 to 354 of the family's 1533-position model. The record is from RNAcentral.
UGAGCAACCUGCCCUUCUCAUCGGAAUAAGCGUUGGAAACGACGUCUAAUGCCGAAUACGACCUCCUUUCGCAUGAUCGGAGGUGGAAAGCUCCGGCGGAGAAGGAUGAGCUCGCGGCCUAUCAGCUAGUUGGUGUGGGUAACGCCCACAAGGCGACGACGGGUAGCCGGCCUGAGAGGGUGACCGGCCACACUGGGACUGAGACACGGCCCAGACUCCUACGGGAGCAGCAGG